RNAcentral lists this ribosomal RNA (1076 nucleotides) under Riukiaria falcifera. Its description in RNAcentral is "partial large subunit ribosomal RNA". It matches the Rfam family "Eukaryotic large subunit ribosomal RNA", at positions 125 to 794 of the family's 3401-position model. The record is from RNAcentral. Lineage: Eukaryota; Metazoa; Arthropoda; Diplopoda; Polydesmida; Xystodesmidae.
UCAUCUUGGCAGGGUGCAAUGUGGUGUUCGGGAGGGUCCAUUCGCGCCUUGAGCUCUGGUGUCCAAGUCCCCCUGACCGGGGCCAUCGCCCGUUGAGGGUGCAAGGCCUGUUGGGCAGGGCUGUGUCUCCGAUCUCGGUGCGUUGGGUCCCUUCCUUGGAGUCGGGUUGCUUGAGAGUGCAGCCCAAAGUGGGUGGUAAACUCCACCUAAGGCUAAAUAUUUUCCACGAGACCGAUAGCAAACAAGUACCGUGAGGGAAAGUUGCAAAGAACUUUGAAGAGAGAGUUCAAGAGUGCGUGAAACCGUUCGGAGGUAAACGGGUGGGAGCGCGAAGGUCGAACGGACGGGGAGGGAUUCAACUUGGCGUGGCGGCUGGCCCGGCUCGGUUCGCGUCUGGGCGUGCCGUCCUCUCCCUUCGCGGGGAGGGGUCUCGGUCGUCCCGCGUUCUGCCGCGGCCGUAGUCCGCCGUGCCUUGUGCAUUUCCCUAUUCCCCCUCUCCUAGUAGGACGCCGCGACCGGCUGUCGAGGGGAGCCCAGGAGCUGGUCGGAGCAGUUGCGCGGACGAGCAAGGGAUUAGUUCUCUGCGUCCGGUCUGUCUGUCUCCGAUCGCCCGCGGGUCGCUCCCUCCGGCCGAGGAACUGUGCGAGCUGGGCCCCUUCGGGGGUCCCUCGUCCAUGUGCGUGCCCACGGAUCUGUCGGUGCGGGUCGAAAGAACCCAACGGGUGGCGCCGGGUGGCCGCGCGCCAGUCUCAGGACUGCGCGUGCGGACUCCGCGUGUCAGCCGCCGUCGGUCAGGGUGCGGACUCCCGCAGUUGGGCGCUGGGGGUCGGCGGCGAGUAGGUCGGUUUCCCACCCGACCCGUCUUGAAACACGGACCAAGAAGUCUAACGUGUGGGCGAGUCUUCGGGGACAUUUUGAACCCUUAGAAGGCGAAAUAAAAGUGAAGGCUGGGUCGUUCCGCCUGCGUGUCGCUCCGGCCGCCGCCUCUCUCUCGGGGGAGGUUGGCGUGUCGGGCGCCGUGGCGUGAGCGGCCCGCCCGAGUGGGAUCCCCCGUCUGAUGGCGGGGGCGCACCACC